This 429-nucleotide ribosomal RNA is filed under the name Pseudomonadota bacterium. RNAcentral describes it as "Proteobacteria bacterium partial 16S ribosomal RNA". It matches the Rfam family "Bacterial small subunit ribosomal RNA", at positions 355 to 776 of the family's 1533-position model. The record is from RNAcentral. Lineage: Bacteria; Pseudomonadati; Pseudomonadota.
UGGGGAAUAUUGGACAAUGGGCGAAAGCCUGAUCCAGCCAUGCCGCGUGUGUGAAGAAGGUCUUCGGAUUGUAAAGCACUUUAAGUUGGGAGGAAGGGCAGUAAGCGAAUACCUUGCUGUUUUGACGUUACCGACAGAAUAAGCACCGGCUAACUCUGUGCCAGCAGCCGCGGUAAUACAGAGGGUGCAAGCGUUAAUCGGAAUUACUGGGCGUAAAGCGCGCGUAGGUGGUUCGUUAAGUUGAAUGUGAAAGCCCCGGGCUCAACCUGGGAACUGCAUCCAAAACUGGCGGGCUAGAGUAGGGCAGAGGGUGGUGGAAUUUCCUGUGUAGCGGUGAAAUGCGUAGGUAUAGGAAGGAACACCAGUGGCGAAGGCGACCACCUGGGCUCAUACUGACACUGGGGUGCGAAAGCGUGGGGAGCAAACAGG